AUUGAACGCUGGCGGCAGGCCUAACACAUGCAAGUCGAGCGGAUGAAGGGAGCUUGCUCCUGGAUUCAGUGGCGGACGGGUGAGUAAUGCCUAGGUAUCUGCCUGGUAGUGGGGGAUAACGUCCGGAAACGGGCGCUAAUACCGCAUACGUCCUGAGGGAGAAAGUGGGGGAUCUUCGGACCUCACGCUAUCAGAUGAGCCUAGGUCGGAUUAGCUAGUUGGUGGGGUAAAGGCCUACCAAGGCGACGAUCCGUAACUGGUCUGAGAGGAUGAUCAGUCACACUGGAACUGAGACACGGUCCAGACUCCUACGGGAGGCAGCAGUGGGGAAUAUUGGACAAUGGGCGAAAGCCUGAUCCAGCCAUGCCGCGUGUGUGAAGAAGGUCUUCGGAUUGUAAAGCACUUUAAGUUGGGAGGAAGGGCAGUAAGUUAAUACCUUGCUGUUUUGACGUUACCAACAGAAUAAGCACCGGCUAACUUCGUG
Molecule: ribosomal RNA, 484 nt
Filed under: uncultured bacterium
Lineage: Bacteria
Description: partial 16S ribosomal RNA
Rfam family: Bacterial small subunit ribosomal RNA
Source: RNAcentral